Molecule: ribosomal RNA, 254 nt
Filed under: uncultured bacterium
Lineage: Bacteria
Description: partial 16S ribosomal RNA
Rfam family: Bacterial small subunit ribosomal RNA
Source: RNAcentral
UACGUAGGGGGCGAACGUUGUCCGGAUUUAUUGGGCGUAAAGAGCUCGUAGGCGGCUCAGCAAGUCGGCCGUGAAAGCCCGGGGCUCAACCCCGGGACGCCGGUCGAAACUGCUGUGGCUAGGGUCCGGUAGAGGAGAGUGGAAUUCUCGGUGUAGCGGUGAAAUGCGCAGAUAUCGGGAGGAACGCCAGUAGCGAAGGCGGCUCUCUGGGCCGGUACCGACGCUGAGGAGCGAAAGCUAGGGGAGCAAACAGG